This 609-nucleotide long non-coding RNA is filed under the name Rattus norvegicus (Norway rat). Its description in RNAcentral is "long non-coding RNA NONRATT005899". The record is from RNAcentral. Lineage: Eukaryota; Metazoa; Chordata; Mammalia; Rodentia; Muridae.
AGGCGGGCACACAGUAAACUUGGUCAGUGUUUGGUGGGAUGGCCAGUGGAUACAGACUCCCCACAUCCCCAGGGUCUCAGGAUUUCCCGCAAUCCUGUCUUCGUUGCUCUUCUGCCCUCUGCUAGAUGCUAUUUGUGGAGCCACCUCGGUGGGGACUUUGGCCAGGAUGGAAGGCUCCAGAGGGAACGUAUGGUGCCUUCAUCUGAGCCCUGGUGUCAGUCUCUCUGGCCCCCUCAUUCUAAUGCUGUUCUACUGCCCACAAUUUUGGCACCAGGGUGGUCCACUUUCAGCUGGAGUGAGGCCAGGCUAAAGAAGAUCCACCCAGAAGUCUCCAUCUACCCAGACAAAGGUUGUUUAUGGAACCACAGAGAACAGUCCUGUGACCUUCAUGAACUUUCCCGAGGACACCCUGGAGCAGAAGGCUGGAAGUGUAGGCAGAAUUAUGCCUCACACGGAGGCCCAGAUCGUGAACAUGGAGACCGGGGAGCUGACCAAGCUGAACAUGCCUGGAGAGCUGUGCAUCCGAGGGUACUGCGUCAUGCAGGGCUACUGGGGCGAGCCACAGAAGACCUUCGAAACGGUUGGGCAAGACAGAUGGUAUCGGACAGG